GUAGCGUAUAUUAAAGUUGUUGCAGUUAAAAAGCUCGUAGUUGGAUUUCUGGCUGGCCGCGUAUGGUCGGGCGUCCUCAGGGCGCUUUGUAUUGUCGCGUGUUUGCCAUCCUUCCAGAGAGCUGUGCCUACCGUCUCGUACGGCAGGGCGCUGCGAUCUGGAUCGUUUACUUUGAAAAAAUUAGAGUGUUCCAAGCAAGCUUACGCUUUGAAUACAUUAGCAUGGAAUAAUAAUAUAGGACUUCUGUUCUAUUUUGUUGGUUUCUAGGACCGAAGUAAUGAUUGAUAGGGAUAGUUGGGGGUGCUAGUAUUCAGCGGCCAGAGGUGAAAUUCUUGGAUUCGCUGAAGACUAACUACUG
RNAcentral lists this ribosomal RNA (358 nucleotides) under uncultured eukaryote. Its description in RNAcentral is "SSU rRNA". It matches the Rfam family "Eukaryotic small subunit ribosomal RNA", at positions 594 to 945 of the family's 1831-position model. The record is from RNAcentral.